UUUGAUCAUGGCUCAGAUUGAACGCUGGCGGCAGGCCUAACACAUGCAAGUCGAACGGUAACAGGAAACAGCUUGCUGUUUCGCUGACGAGUGGCGGACGGGUGAGUAAUGUCUGGGAAACUGCCUGAUGGAGGGGGAUAACUACUGGAAACGGUAGCUAAUACCGCAUAACGUCGCAAGACCAAAGAGGGGGACCUUCGGGCCUCUUGCCAUCGGAUGUGCCCAGAUGGGAUUAGCUAGUAGGUGGGGUAACGGCUCACCUAGGCGACGAUCCCUAGCUGGUCUGAGAGGAUGACCAGCCACACUGGAACUGAGACACGGUCCAGACUCCUACGGGAGGCAGCAGUGGGGAAUAUUGCACAAUGGGCGCAAGCCUGAUGCAGCCAUGCCGCGUGUAUGAAGAAGGCCUUCGGGUUGUAAAGUACUUUCAGCGGGGAGGAAGGGAGUAAAGUUAAUACCUUUGCUCAUUGACGUUACCCGCAGAAGAAGCACCGGCUAACUCCGUGCCAGCAGCCGCGGUAAUACGGAGGGUGCAAGCGUUAAUCGGAAUUACUGGGCGUAAAGCGCACGCAGGCGGUUUGUUAAGUCAGAUGUGAAAUCCCCGGGCUCAACCUGGGAACUGCAUCUGAUACUGGCAAGCUUGAGUCUCGUAGAGGGGGGUAGAAUUCCAGGUGUAGCGGUGAAAUGCGUAGAGAUCUGGAGGAAUACCGGUGGCGAAGGCGGCCCCCUGGACGAAGACUGACGCUCAGGUGCGAAAGCGUGGGGAGCAAACAGGAUUAGAUACCCUGGUAGUCCACGCCGUAAACGAUGUCGACUUGGAGGUUGUGCCCUUGAGGCGUGGCUUCCGGAGCUAACGCGUUAAGUCGACCGCCUGGGGAGUACGGCCGCAAGGUUAAAACUCAAAUGAAUUGACGGGGGCCCGCACAAGCGGUGGAGCAUGUGGUUUAAUUCGAUGCAACGCGAAGAACCUUACCUGGUCUUGACAUCCACGGAAGUUUUCAGAGAUGAGAAUGUGCCUUCGGGAACCGUGAGACAGGUGCUGCAUGGCUGUCGUCAGCUCGUGUUGUGAAAUGUUGGGUUAAGUCCCGCAACGAGCGCAACCCUUAUCCUUUGUUGCCAGCGGUCCGGCCGGGAACUCAAAGGAGACUGCCAGUGAUAAACUGGAGGAAGGUGGGGAUGACGUCAAGUCAUCAUGGCCCUUACGACCAGGGCUACACACGUGCUACAAUGGCGCAUACAAAGAGAAGCGACCUCGCGAGAGCAAGCGGACCUCAUAAAGUGCGUCGUAGUCCGGAUUGGAGUCUGCAACUCGACUCCAUGAAGUCGGAAUCGCUAGUAAUCGUGGAUCAGAAUGCCACGGUGAAUACGUUCCCGGGCCUUGUACACACCGCCCGUCACACCAUGGGAGUGGGUUGCAAAAGAAGUAGGUAGCUUAACCUUCGGGAGGGCGCUUACCACUUUGUGAUUCAUGACUGGGGUGAAGUCGUAACAAGGUAACCGUAGGGGAACCUGCGGUUGGAUCACCUCCUU
This 1530-nucleotide ribosomal RNA is filed under the name Escherichia coli. RNAcentral describes it as "bacterial SSU rRNA". It matches the Rfam family "Bacterial small subunit ribosomal RNA". The record is from RNAcentral. Lineage: Bacteria; Pseudomonadati; Pseudomonadota; Gammaproteobacteria; Enterobacterales; Enterobacteriaceae.